This 274-nucleotide ribosomal RNA is filed under the name uncultured bacterium. Its description in RNAcentral is "partial 16S ribosomal RNA". It matches the Rfam family "Bacterial small subunit ribosomal RNA", at positions 523 to 796 of the family's 1533-position model. The record is from RNAcentral.
AUACAGAGGGUGCGAGCGUUAAUCGGAAUUACUGGGCGUAAAGCGCGCGUAGGCGGCUUGGUCAGUCGGAUGUGAAAGCCCCGGGCUCAACCUGGGAAUGGCAUUCGAUACUGCCAGGCUAGAGUAUGGGAGAGGGAAGUGGAAUUUCCGGUGUAGCGGUGAAAUGCGUAGAUAUCGGAAAGAACACCAGUGGCGAAGGCGACUUCCUGGCCCAAUACUGACGCUGAGGUGCGAAAGCAUGGGGAGCGAACAGGAUUAGAUACCCCGGUAGUCC